CCUCAGGUGCAGCGCGGAUCCCUCCGCCGCAGCGUGCACCGCCGGCAGCGCGGCGCUCGGCUUUCCGGCAGUACCCGGAUGGACGGGUAAUGGCCGCCAUCUGGGACUCGCUGGCCAUGGGGACCACGGCAGAUACUGUCUCUUUUGAUCACUGUUCCUGAUUAUGGCACUGUCCCAGCACUGAGUGGUGUGCCUUCGUUCCUGGGAGAAAGGUGAUCCUAGCAGUUUCCUGUUCUUCCUGGCUUCUGGACUCAGCAGAAAACUCGGGAUUCCUUUCUUUCUCAUAUCUUGGCCUGAGCCAUCUGUCACCCAGAGAGCUUCAGUCUGACCUUUCAUUCAAGCCUCAAUCUUUCCGACUCUCCCAAGGUAUGUUUAGUGGAUAAAGGGGACAAAUUUCUGU
Long non-coding RNA from Acomys russatus (golden spiny mouse), 400 nucleotides. RefSeq lists it as uncharacterized. NCBI's taxonomy places the organism in Eukaryota, Metazoa, Chordata, Mammalia, Rodentia, Muridae. The record is from RefSeq and is a predicted model, not a curated record. The transcript has 3 exons.